AGCGAACGCUGGCGGCAGGCUUAACACAUGCAAGUCGAGCGGGCACUUCGGUGUCAGCGGCAGACGGGUGAGUAACACGUGGGAACGUACCCUUCGGUUCGGAAUAACGCUGGGAAACUAGCGCUAAUACCGGAUACGCCCUUUUGGGGAAAGGUUUACUGCCGAAGGAUCGGCCCGCGUCUGAUUAGCUAGUUGGUGUGGUAAUGGCCUACCAAGGCGACGAUCAGUAGCUGGUCUGAGAGGAUGAUCAGCCACACUGGGACUGAGACACGGCCCAGACUCCUACGGGAGGCAGCAGUGGGGAAUAUUGGACAAUGGGCGCAAGCCUGAUCCAGCCAUGCCGCGUGAGUGAUGAAGGCCUUAGGGUUGUAAAGCUCUUUUGUCCGGGACGAUAAUGACGGUACCGGAAGAAUAAGCCCCGGCUAACUUCGUG
Molecule: ribosomal RNA, 433 nt
Filed under: uncultured bacterium
Lineage: Bacteria
Description: partial 16S ribosomal RNA
Rfam family: Bacterial small subunit ribosomal RNA
Source: RNAcentral